Molecule: ribosomal RNA, 253 nt
Filed under: uncultured Prosthecobacter sp.
Lineage: Bacteria; Pseudomonadati; Verrucomicrobiota; Verrucomicrobiia; Verrucomicrobiales; Verrucomicrobiaceae
Description: partial 16S ribosomal RNA
Rfam family: Bacterial small subunit ribosomal RNA
Source: RNAcentral
UACAGAGGUCUCAAGCGUUGUUCGGAAUCACUGGGCGUAAAGGGUGCGUAGGUGGCGUGGUAAGUCAGAUGUGAAAGCCCGGGGCUCACCCUCGGAACUGCAUCCGAUACUACCAUGCUAGAGAACUGGAGGGGAGUCUAGAAUUCACGGUGUAGCAGUGAAAUGCGUAGAUAUCGUGAGGAAUACCAAAGGCGAAGGCCGGACUCUGGACAGUUUCUGACACUGAGGCACGAAGGCUAGGGGAGCGAACGGG